CGAAUGGGGCAAGCGUUGUUCGGAAUCACUGGGCGUAAAGCGUGUGUAGGCGGUUUAACAAGUCAGGAGUGAAAUCCCAGGGCUCAACCCUGGAAUUGCUCUUGAAACUGUUAAGCUAGAGUCCCGGAGAGGUUAGCAGAAUUCCGAGUGUAGAGGUGAAAUUCGCAGAUAUUCGGAGGAAUACCAGUGGCGUAAGCGGCUAACUGGACGGGCACUGACGCUGAGACACGAAAGCGUGGGGAUCAAACAGGAUU
Molecule: ribosomal RNA, 254 nt
Filed under: uncultured bacterium
Lineage: Bacteria
Description: partial 16S ribosomal RNA
Rfam family: Bacterial small subunit ribosomal RNA
Source: RNAcentral